ACGUCAUCCCCACCUUCCUCACAGUUUGCACUGGCAGUCUUGUUAGAGUUCCCGACAUUACUCGCUGGCAACUAACAACAGGGGUUGCGCUCGUUAUAGGACUUAACCUGACACCUCACGGCACGAGCUGACGACAACCAUGCAGCACCUUGUAACUUGCCCGAAGGAAAAGCUGUUUCCAGCCCUGUCAAGCUACAUUUAAGCCCUGGUAAGGUUCCUCGCGUAUCAUCGAAUUAAACCACAUGCUCCACCGCUUGUGCGGGCCCCCGUCAAUUCCUUUGAGUUUCAUUCUUGCGAACGUACUCCCCAGGUGGGUUACUUAUCACUUUCGCUUAGCCACUCAGUCUUACGACCAAACAGCUAGUAACCAUCGUUUACGGCGUAGACUACCAGGGUAUCU
RNAcentral lists this unclassified non-coding RNA (400 nucleotides) under uncultured fungus. RNAcentral describes it as "sequence contains ITS1". Lineage: Eukaryota; Fungi. The record is from RNAcentral.